UUUGCAAAACUCUUCACACAGUUCUCCUAACCAACUUUCAGCUUGGCAAAGCAGUUCAUUUCACAUUCAAAAUGCACUACAACUACCAAAACACUGUAUUCAGGUCUCAAAUCAACUUAUUCUUUCAGAACACUAGCAAAGGUUGACAGCCGACAAACACACUUUGUCACCCACAAAACAAUGACCUGAAAAACACUAACAACAUGUAGCAUUAUACAAUGUUUUCUUAUUGACACAUCUCUGUUUAUAAUUCACUGCAAUAUAUGUUACUGGAAUGAAUCAGACUGAUGCAGAAUCCGUCAAUAUUUUAUGUCGUUUAUUUAUUUUUAUUUUUUUACACUGAGUAAUUCCAAAAUACAAGA
Molecule: long non-coding RNA, 362 nt
Organism: Megalobrama amblycephala (Wuchang bream)
Lineage: Eukaryota; Metazoa; Chordata; Actinopteri; Cypriniformes; Xenocyprididae
Exons: 3
Source: RefSeq, a predicted model, not a curated record